RNAcentral lists this ribosomal RNA (416 nucleotides) under uncultured Pseudomonas sp. RNAcentral describes it as "bacterial SSU rRNA". It matches the Rfam family "Bacterial small subunit ribosomal RNA", at positions 966 to 1383 of the family's 1533-position model. Lineage: Bacteria; Pseudomonadati; Pseudomonadota; Gammaproteobacteria; Pseudomonadales; Pseudomonadaceae. The record is from RNAcentral.
GAACUUACCAGGCCUUGACAUGCAGAGAACUUUCCAGAGAUGGAUUGGUGCCUUCGGGAACUCUGACACAGGUGCUGCAUAGCUGUCGUCAGCUCGUGUCGUGAGAUGUUGGGUUAAGUCCGUAACGAGCGCAACCCUUGUCCUUAGUUACCAGCACGUUAUGGUGGGCACUCUAAGGAGACUGCCGGUGACAAACCGGAGGAAGGUGGGGAUGACGUCAAGUCAUCAUGGCCCUUACGGCCUGGGCUACACACGUGCUACAAUGGUCGGUACAAAGGGUUGCCAAGCCGCGAGGUGGAGCUAAUCCCAUAAAACCGAUCGUAGUCCGGAUCGCAGUCUGCAACUCGACUGCGUGAAGUCGGAAUCGCUAGUAAUCGUGAAUCAGAAUGUCACGGUGAAUACGUUCCCGGGCCUUG